GCGGUGAGUAUGUGGUUUAAUUCGAUGCAACGCGAAGAACCUUACCUGGUUGGAAACCCUGGAAUCCUGCAGAGAUGUGGGAGUGCUUCUUUUAGAGAAUCAGGUGUCCAGGUGCUGCAUGGUUGUCGUCAGCUCGUGUCGUGAGAUGUUGGGUUAAGUCCCGCAACGAGCGCAACCCCUGUUGUUAGUUGCCAGCGAUUCGGUCGGGCACUCUAACGAGACUGCCGGUGGUAAGCCGGAGGAAGGUGGGGAUGACGUCAAAUCCUCAUGGCCCUUAUGCCCAGGGCUACACACGUACUACAAUGGUCGGUACAAAGGGCUGCGACCCCGCGAGGGUGAGCCAAUCCCAAAAAGCCGUCCACAGUUCGGAUUGGAGUCUGCAACUCGACUCCAUGAAGCCGGAAUCGCUAGUAAUCGUGGAUCAGCAUGCCACGGUGAAUACGUUCCCGGGCCUU
This 455-nucleotide ribosomal RNA is filed under the name uncultured Nannocystineae bacterium. RNAcentral's name for it is "bacterial SSU rRNA". It matches the Rfam family "Bacterial small subunit ribosomal RNA", at positions 929 to 1382 of the family's 1533-position model. Lineage: Bacteria; Pseudomonadati; Myxococcota; Myxococcia; Myxococcales. The record is from RNAcentral.